Long non-coding RNA from Thalassophryne amazonica, 149 nucleotides. RefSeq lists it as uncharacterized. The record is from RefSeq and is a predicted model, not a curated record. The transcript is spliced from 3 exons. NCBI's taxonomy places the organism in Eukaryota, Metazoa, Chordata, Actinopteri, Batrachoidiformes, Batrachoididae.
AUGUGCUUUGGCAGCUUGGGGAUAUGGUGCUUUGUGAGAGCUCUUGGCACUAUAUGCCAAUGCCAGAGCUGCCAUAGCUCAGGGUGGACUGAGUCAUAAAUUUACAAUCUACAUACUCGCUUAAGGUCAGGUCGUUUACACCUCCACAG